This is a non-coding RNA of Vicugna pacos (alpaca), 431 nucleotides long. NCBI's taxonomy places the organism in Eukaryota, Metazoa, Chordata, Mammalia, Artiodactyla, Camelidae. The record is from RefSeq and is a predicted model, not a curated record.
UGUUAAGUAAAAAAGACGGACGCUGCCUGAAUCAUGAAGCUGUUCCUCAUUAGAUGUGUGGCCCGGGGUUAAAGUCGCGCCUGAUCUGCCAACCUGCCCAAGAACUCUGGCACAAGGGCCCUGCAUGCCUGCACCACGGAGGGGACUCUCAACAUUCUUCUGCAGCUGUAGCCCGCUACUGCUCGUUUCUAGAUGCACUUCUCUGCUCUGCCUGGAGAAUGGCGAUGAAGUGACAUCUCCAUGGAAACAGAUGUUGAUCCCACAGUUGCUUAGCGAUGUGCUGCAGGAUGAUGUCCAGGGUACAUCCCACUUCCUCCAGGAAGCCCUCCCUGACCGCUGCCACCCAGGCUCAUCUGCAGCACUUCCUGGCUGUAGCCCUUGCUUUCUUCUCUGUGAACAGUGACUCAUGAUGCAUACUUUGCAUAAACAUG